RNAcentral lists this transfer RNA (69 nucleotides) under Ictidomys tridecemlineatus (thirteen-lined ground squirrel). RNAcentral describes it as "Spermophilus tridecemlineatus (thirteen-lined ground squirrel) tRNA". It matches the Rfam family "tRNA". From Rfam's summary of the family: Transfer RNA (tRNA) molecules are approximately 80 nucleotides in length. Their secondary structure includes four short double-helical elements and three loops (D, anti-codon, and T loops). Further hydrogen bonds mediate the characteristic L-shaped molecular structure. tRNAs have two regions of fundamental functional importance: the anti-codon, which is responsible for specific mRNA codon recognition, and the 3' end, to which the tRNAs corresponding amino acid is attached (by aminoacyl-tRNA synthetases). tRNAs cope with the degeneracy of the genetic code in two manners: having more than one tRNA (with a specific anti-codon) for a particular amino acid; and 'wobble' base-pairing, i.e. permitting non-standard base-pairing at the 3rd anti-codon position. The record is from Rfam by way of RNAcentral. Lineage: Eukaryota; Metazoa; Chordata; Mammalia; Rodentia; Sciuridae.
GGGAUUGUGGCUCAGAGGUAGAGCACUCGCCUAACAUGUGUGAGGCACUGGGUUCGAUCCUCAGCACCA